AUAUAUAUAAAUAUAAAUAGUUUAAAAAUAUAAUUUGAUAGAUAUUGCAAUUUUAUUAACUAAAUAUUAAAUGUUAAUGACUAGAAAUCUCAAAGAAAUGGUGAAUAACGCCAUAUUAUAUUGGAUCUCCUUUUGUUUGAUCCUCACCAACAGUGGAACAAGAUAGAUGCUCCGGUCUCUGAUUGGAAGGUACAGAACAGAAAUAUAAACAUUUGUAACAGACAUCUGUACUGAAGAUAAUGUCUUGGGAAGAACAACCUGCUCCGUUUCAUUGAAAUAAUUAUUAUCUGAUGUUGUUUCUAUAUCAGAUUCAUCAUUUUCAAAGAAAAUUUUAUCUUCACAUAGGCUAUUGUGUUCGACUGCAGCCAUACUAAAUGCACCGUGUCACGGAUGUGUAACAAGAGACGAUCGCUCUUUUUUUUUUUUUUCUUCCUUUUCUUCCCGUGAAGUUAGACGGAGCCGCUGCUUUGAAAUUGGCACGCGGGAUGAUUUUAGCUAUUCAAAGCCUGGCGGGAAGGAAGGAAAGAAUGGAGUUUCCAUUUUGGAUGUUGCAUAAAACACUAACAUUCAACCAAUGAGAGAGGGAAGAUAACCCACCCUUUCCGUUUCAAUGGGGAAACCGACAUCAGAGUUGCCCUUCUCCGCUUUCUUUUCAUUAAACCGACGACAUGCAGUCGCAGAGGGGCGGCGCUUUCGAAUGGCAGCAUCAAGGCGCAGACGCCUUCGGUUUCACACCGUGCUUCCGGUUUCAAUUAGAUCAAUCAUUUUCCCUAUCAGAAAUCUUUCCACUGUUCUGAAAUAAACGGCGGACCGCGAUGGAGCUUCCAUUUGCUUUUGCAAAUGUGUUUACACGGCACUAUAUACUUCACCGGAAUAAUUCCUGGUGUCUUUUUGCUCUGUACGAAAACGAACGAGUUUUACUUGGCGCCUGUACCGCACCGGUAUUGUGAGAUCCGUGAUUCCGUGGCAUCGCCUGAGUAAAUUCCAUCCAUUGGUGGGGGCGGCGGCCCUUACAAUUUACUGUUUCCACGUUCCGAUCUAUUUUAAUUAUUCCUUCGCGGUUUGAAAAAUUCCAUAAAUCUUCGUCCCCAAGGUAAUUAGCGGGGAUACUUUCGACUAGGCAUAAAUCCUGUAAUUCCUUCCAGGAACCCCGGAACAUUGACAACAGACGAGAUGCACUGGAACUCCAGUGUUUCUCAAGCUUUAAAAAUUUUAUAGAAAAAUUGAUUCAUAAUCUUCUUAUAAUUUUUUCAAUAAUGACAAUUUGACAAUUUAUGAUGAAAAUAAGGA
Molecule: long non-coding RNA, 1290 nt
Organism: Apis mellifera (honey bee)
Lineage: Eukaryota; Metazoa; Arthropoda; Insecta; Hymenoptera; Apidae
Exons: 5
Source: RefSeq, a predicted model, not a curated record